This 252-nucleotide ribosomal RNA is filed under the name uncultured bacterium. Its description in RNAcentral is "partial 16S ribosomal RNA". It matches the Rfam family "Bacterial small subunit ribosomal RNA", at positions 524 to 776 of the family's 1533-position model. The record is from RNAcentral.
UACGUAGGUCCCGAGCGUUGUCCGGAUUUAUUGGGCGUAAAGCGAGCGCAGGUGGUUUAUUAAGUCUGGUGUAAAAGGCAGUGGCUCAACCAUUGUAUGCAUUGGAAACUGGUAGACUUGAGUGCAGGAGAGGAGAGUGGAAUUCCAUGUGUAGCGGUGAAAUGCGUAGAUAUAUGGAGGAACACCGGUGGCGAAAGCGGCUCUCUGGCCUGUAACUGACACUGAGGUUCGAAAGCGUGGGGAGCAAACAGG